This 253-nucleotide ribosomal RNA is filed under the name uncultured bacterium. RNAcentral describes it as "partial 16S ribosomal RNA". It matches the Rfam family "Bacterial small subunit ribosomal RNA", at positions 524 to 776 of the family's 1533-position model. The record is from RNAcentral.
UACGUAGGUGGCAAGCGUUAUCCGGAUUUAUUGGGCGUAAAGGGAACGCAGGCGGUCUUUUAGGUCUGAUGUGAAAGCCUUCGGCUUAACCGGAGUAGUGCAUUGGAAACUGGGAGACUUGAGUACAGAAGAGGAGAGUGGAACUCCAUGUGUAGCGGUGAAAUGCGUAGAUAUAUGGAAGAACACCAGUGGCGAAAGCGGCUCUCUGGUCUGUAACUGACGCUGAGGUUCGAAAGCGUGGGUAGCAAACAGG